ACAAAGGGCCCUGGCUCCAGCUUGGAAGGGGCCACCUCGGCCUAGCCCAGAGCGGCGCUGUCCCUACCCCCAAGUCCCUCUCAGUGGAGGCCCCACCUGUCCCUGAGAUUGGGAGGAUGGAAAGCUAAACUUUUACCAUCCAGAGCCAGCAGAUUCCAGCAAGUCCCCCACCCAAGGGAGGAACCCCAGCCACUUGUCUCAGCCCUCCUCAGUCCUCAAUCCCGUUCGGUCCCCCUCUACCCUUACCAUGGCCAAUUAUUAUGAAGUGCUGGGUGUACAAUCAAGUGCCUCCCCUGAGGACAUCAAGAAGGCCUAUCGAAAGCUGGCUUUGCGUUGGCACCCCGACAAGAACCCUGACAACAAAGAAGAGGCCGAAAAAAAGUUUAAGCAAGUGUCUGAGGCCUAUGAAGUUUUGUCAGACUCUAAGAAGCGUUCUGUGUACGACCGGGCAGGUUGUGAUGGCUGGAGAGCUGGUGGCGGUGCCAGUGUCCCCCAUGCCGGUCCCUUUGGUGCUGGCUAUCCCUUUCGAAAUCCCGAGGAUAUCUUCCGUGAGUUCUUUGGGGGACUGGACCCUUUUUCCUUCGAGUUCUGGGACACUCCGUUCAGCGACCGAGGUCGACCCCAUGGUUUACGUGGAGCCUUCUCUUCGGGCUUCGGUGAAUUCCCAGCGUUCAUGGAAGCCUUUUCAUCUUUUGACACUCUGGGCCAUGGUGGGGGCAGCCACUCCACCUUUUCAUCUACUUCCUUUGGUGGCUCCGGUUCUGGCAGCUCAGGGUUCAAGUCAGUGAUGUCAUCUACCGAGAUGGUGAACGGCCGUAAGGUAACCACCAAGCGCAUCGUUGAGAACGGACAUGAACGUGUGGAGGUGGAAGAAGAUGGAAAGCUCCGGAAGCCAGGUAUCCCAAGAUCGUCAGGGCCAGCCAAGUGCCGCAAGUGUGAUCGCAGAAGCUGUUGACCCUGAGCUCCUGGCUACAGCUCCCUGGAAUACGCCUCAGAGGUUCUCAGCCAGCCGGCAGCUGGAGGCAGAUAACCACGUUACUGAAGGAAGAUCUGAGGCCCCAAGGCUGGGGCACCUGCUGCGACACCACAGGCUAAACGGAUCCUCCAGAGAAUAAAGCCAGAGUCUUAGACUGGU
Molecule: non-coding RNA, 1135 nt
Organism: Rattus norvegicus (Norway rat)
Lineage: Eukaryota; Metazoa; Chordata; Mammalia; Rodentia; Muridae
Source: RefSeq, a predicted model, not a curated record